This 817-nucleotide small RNA is filed under the name Pongo abelii (Sumatran orangutan). RNAcentral describes it as "retained intron". Lineage: Eukaryota; Metazoa; Chordata; Mammalia; Primates; Hominidae. The record is from RNAcentral.
GGAUGGACAGGAGGUAAGUAGAUGGAGGGUGGGAAGGUCCCAGACCUAGGACAUUUGAGGGGCUGAAAGAGGACCUGUGGCUGGACUGGCCACCCAGAUGUCUGGGUAGGUGAAGGAGUGGGGGUGGGGAGGUGUUCUGUGCUAGGCACAGCCCGUUCUAUGGGAAAUAGGGCAAGAUGCCCAGGCCCAUGUCCUGAUCCUGCCAUUCUUCCCGUCCCUCAGAAGUGGAUGCACCCCCAAGUGACACCUACUGAUGACUCAAACCCCUGGUGGGCAGCUUUUAGCCGGGUCUGCAAGGACAUGUGAGCUCGCUGGCCAGCUCUCCUCACAGCCCAGCCCCCCACUCCUCUCCUUCCUGCUGCCCCCUCCCUUAUCCCUCCUCCCUCCUCCCACCUCUCUCCCACCUUCCUUUGUCUCUUCAAUUCUUCCCUUUCUCCCUCCCCAUUCAUCAGGCUCUUUCUCCUACAGGAAGCUUACUCUGGAGCCUGAGAUCAUGCCUGCUGCCACUGACAACCGCUAUAUCCGCGCGGUGGGGAUCCCAGCUCUAGGCUUCUCACCCAUGAACCGCACACCUGUGCUGCUGCACGACCACGAUGAACGGCUGCAUGAGGCUGUGUUCCUCCGUGGGGUGGACAUAUAUACACGCCUGCUGCCUGCCCUUGCCAGUGUGCCUGCCCUGCCCAGUGAGAGCUGAGCCCCGGAACUCCUCAACCUUUGCCCCUGGGGCUUCCAUCCCAACCAGUGCCAAGGACCUCCUCUUCCCCCUUCCAAAUAAUAAAGUCUAUGGACAGGGCUGUCUCUGAAGUACUAACAGCAA